UACGUAGGGGGCAAGCGUUGUCCGGAUUCAUUGGGCGUAAAGAGCGUGUAGGCGGCCAGGUAGGUCGGUUGUGAAAACUGGAGGCUCAACCUUCAGAGGUCGACCGAAACCAUCUGGCUAGAGUCCGGGAGAGGAGAGUGGAAUUCCUGGUGUAGCGGUGAAAUGCGCAGAUAUCGGGAGGAACACCUGUGGCGAAAGCGGCUCACUGGACCACAACUGACGCUGAUGCGCGAAAGCUAGGGGAGCAAACAGG
RNAcentral lists this ribosomal RNA (253 nucleotides) under uncultured bacterium. RNAcentral's name for it is "partial 16S ribosomal RNA". It matches the Rfam family "Bacterial small subunit ribosomal RNA", at positions 524 to 776 of the family's 1533-position model. The record is from RNAcentral.